ACUUGAAGGCAGGGGCGUAACACAGUUCUGGCUUGCAGGGAGUGGGCCAACUCUCCUGAGGAGCUUUUUGCAUUCCUUAUACAGGAAUCAUAACUUCCCCAUCUCCCUCUCCUUCUUGUACAAAUGCUGACAUGGGGCUCCAUCUGCACUGAGCAUCUUUUGAAGAUGAGGCCACAAGAGACAAAAGAGGCACAUCCCCUGCUUAACGAACUUGCUAAACCAACACUGGCAGCUGCUUACCUGUGGACUUUUGCUAUUCUUGCAGAUAGAGGUCAAAUUCAAUGAGAAUGGAGAAACAUAACCCCAUGAAAUUCACGUCUUAAAAAUAUUUUAACUUCAUGGUAUCCUGUACAUCUUGAUGUGAUGCACUGAGAAGAACACAAUAUUACUUAAUGUAAUAUUCCUGCCAAAAAUACAUAAUCUGAAUAGAAUCAUGAGGAAACAUCAGAGAAACCCAAAUUAAGAGACUUUCUACCAAAAAAAAAAAAAAGACCUGUAAUUAUUUAAAAAUGUCAAAG
Mustela erminea (ermine) is the source of this 518-nucleotide long non-coding RNA. RefSeq lists it as uncharacterized. The transcript has 2 exons. NCBI's taxonomy places the organism in Eukaryota, Metazoa, Chordata, Mammalia, Carnivora, Mustelidae. The record is from RefSeq and is a predicted model, not a curated record.